Molecule: small RNA, 72 nt
Filed under: Pseudomonas syringae pv. tomato str. DC3000
Lineage: Bacteria; Pseudomonadati; Pseudomonadota; Gammaproteobacteria; Pseudomonadales; Pseudomonadaceae
Description: Pseudomonas sRNA P10
Rfam family: Pseudomonas sRNA P10
Source: Rfam by way of RNAcentral
UAUAACCGACCCCACCAAUUGCCCCAUGCCUGGACACGGCACCAAAGCCAUUGCGUCCGGAUCUCCCAAUGU